ACUUAAAACAAAUCUUCUAGGGCCUAUCCAUUCCAUUUUUGUUUUGUAUUGCUUGCAGUGCUGAGGAGGGAGCCCAGUGCCUCCUGCAUGCUAGGCAAGCACUCUGUCUGUGAUGUACACCUCUCCUGCCCAGCCAAUUGCUUUGCUGGUCAGCUUGGCUGCUCUUACUAUUCCCCAUGGGCUCCUCUCUGUGCUGUUCCUCUUCUAUAGCUCCCUGGGCCCUUCACAUCCAGAAACACCCCAGGCCAGCCACUUGCCCACCCAAACUCCAUCUUGGCUCCAGGACAAACAGGACCAACUGAGCAGCUGAACGAGGAUACUGGCCUUGUGGCCUUCUGGCGGACACUGGAUUAGCAGAGGUGUGACGUGGGACUGCAGAGCUGCUUUCUGAGCUGAAGGUUUUGUAGGUUCAAAGUAGGAGGGGUGAGGAGCCAGCCCAGGGAAUGGCUGUCCUCCUGGAAAGAAGGGGGUGGUUUGGGGACAGGGCGUGUCAGUGUUAUUCUCCUUAGCACCCAGGGGAGCCAAGCACACACACCUGUCUGAAAACCCAAGAUGUGCAUUUAGCAUAUAGAACAAACUAGAGAAAUCAGGGGAAGGACCCAAGGGGAGGAUGUUUUUUUAGGUUUAAUUGGGGCUUCUGGACCACUCCCCUAAACUCCACCCUUACACAGCAGGUUAACAGAGGGCCCUUUUCUUUUCUUUCUUUUUUUUUCUUU
Ictidomys tridecemlineatus (thirteen-lined ground squirrel) is the source of this 716-nucleotide long non-coding RNA. RefSeq lists it as uncharacterized. The record is from RefSeq and is a predicted model, not a curated record. Lineage: Eukaryota; Metazoa; Chordata; Mammalia; Rodentia; Sciuridae.